CAGCUUAUUCUGUGACGAUGUUGGGGUGCUCUAAAAUUCCGUUGCAUUUUAUUUUUUUGGCUACCUAAAUAAAUUCUAGUGCAUGAAUAGAUGCUGUAUGAAUCAAUUCAAUUAUUGCAUUGAAUCAAUUAUAUUAAAUUCCGUAUCUGGAUGGCACGUCGCCACUUUCACGUGUAUGGCUUGGGACAGUUGUUGGCUUUCAUUUUCCGGGGAAAAAUUGAUGGGACGUCUAUUGUCCC
Molecule: long non-coding RNA, 239 nt
Filed under: Elaeis guineensis (African oil palm)
Lineage: Eukaryota; Viridiplantae; Streptophyta; Magnoliopsida; Arecales; Arecaceae
Description: long non-coding RNA (EGUI_LNC058172)
Source: RNAcentral